Molecule: ribosomal RNA, 139 nt
Filed under: uncultured bacterium
Lineage: Bacteria
Description: partial 16S ribosomal RNA
Source: RNAcentral
UGAGGAAUAUUGGUCAAUGGAGGCUAAUAUGAACCAACCACGUCGCGUGAAGGAAGAAGGCCCUAUGGGUUGUAAAAUUCUUUUUAAUGGAAUAAAUUUAUACGUGUAGAAAUGACAUUACUAGAGAGGAUCGUUCCCA